RNAcentral lists this ribosomal RNA (443 nucleotides) under uncultured bacterium. RNAcentral's name for it is "partial 16S ribosomal RNA". It matches the Rfam family "Bacterial small subunit ribosomal RNA", at positions 338 to 795 of the family's 1533-position model. The record is from RNAcentral.
CCUACGGGAGGCUGCAGUGGGGAAUAUUGGGCAAUGGGCGCAAGCCUGACCCAGCAACGCCGCGUGAAGGAAGAAGGCUUUCGGGUUGUAAACUUCUUUUCUCAGGGACGAUGAUAGUGACGGUACCGGAGGAAUAAGCCACGGCUAACUACGUGCCAGCCGCCGCGGUAAUACGUAGGUGGCAAGAGUUAUCCGGAUUUACUGGGUGUAAAGGGCGUGUAGGCGGGACUGUAAGUCAGAUGUGAAAACCAUGGGCUCAACCUGUGGCCUGCAUUUGAAACUGUAGUUCUUGAGUGCUGGAGAGGCAGACGGAAUUCCUAGUGUAGCGGUGAAAUGCGUAGAUAUUAGGAGGAACACCAGUGGCGAAGGCGGUCUGCUGGACAGCAACUGACGCUGAGGCGCGAAAGCGUGGGGAGCAAACAGGAUUAGAUACCCCGGUAGUC